GAUGAACGCUGGCGGCGUGUUUAAGGCAUGCAAGUCGAGGGAUCGGCCCUAUUUUUCUUCGGAAAGCUUGGGUACGGACCGGCAAACGGGUGAGUAACACACUAGUAACCUACCUUCGAGUCAAGAAUAGCCCAGAGAAAUCUGGAUUAAUGCUUGAUAGUCAUGAGGGGUCAUAUGACAUUCUCAUGUAAAGAUUUAUCGCUCGAAGAGGGGCUUAUGACAGAUUAGCUUGUUGGUAGGGUAAUGGCCUACCAAGGCAACGAUCUGUAGCAGGCGUGAGAGCGUGACCUGCCUCACUGGGACUGAGACACUGCCCAG
This 318-nucleotide ribosomal RNA is filed under the name uncultured bacterium. RNAcentral's name for it is "bacterial SSU rRNA". It matches the Rfam family "Bacterial small subunit ribosomal RNA", at positions 28 to 334 of the family's 1533-position model. The record is from RNAcentral.